GUUUUAUUAGUAUAAAAAGUACAUUUGACUUCCAAUCAUAUAGUUUAAAAUUAAUUAAAUAAAACA
RNAcentral lists this transfer RNA (66 nucleotides) under Spongicola levigatus. RNAcentral's name for it is "tRNA-Gly". Lineage: Eukaryota; Metazoa; Arthropoda; Malacostraca; Decapoda; Spongicolidae. The record is from RNAcentral.